Molecule: non-coding RNA, 821 nt
Organism: Peromyscus maniculatus bairdii (prairie deer mouse)
Lineage: Eukaryota; Metazoa; Chordata; Mammalia; Rodentia; Cricetidae
Source: RefSeq, a predicted model, not a curated record
AGGCAUGUCUGGGAAGAUCCAGAUCUAGACAUAUUAUAGUUGAAGAUUUGUCUCCAUUAGAUUAAUCUGCAGAUGUUAUGCUGCUGUUUCCACUGGAGGCAACGAAAGUAGUUUCCUCAGCAGAAGUAAGAAAAUACUACAGGGCCAUGGUGAUGAGAACAACUGAAGAAUGGGCCUGGAGAGGAAGCAUAUCUUGCAGUUUCCCUCCGCUACCUGGAACAAGGGGCUCUCCAGAUAUGCCAGCCCCUGCAUAAGUUGGCACCAGCUCCAAGGAUGCCAACCCCUAACUGAGGAUGUCAACUGGGAGAGAUGCACCUCUAGAAAAAUGACAGAUAUGAUGACUCCUAUAAUCCUGAAGAACACAUCCUUCAACUCGCUGCUGGUAUCACCUCUCCAGGCUCAGCAACCUCAAGGAACAGGCACCUGAGAUCUCCAUGCCAGAGAUUUCCAUGAUGACAGCUAACAAUGCUUCUUCACUCAUGCCUCCCACCAUGCAUGACUCCCGGCUUUUCCCCUCCUCACUUUGCCCCUUGCCAGCUUGAAAUGGCCUCAAGAAUUCAGCAUCCUUGCUCCCCCACUUGCUCUCAUAACUUACCUCUUUCUAUAAUAAUCAAAACGGAGGAAUGUUAAUAUUCUGAUCUGUCCCUUGGGGCCACCCUGCAUCCUGACAUAGGAGCCUCCUCUUAAGAAAAAACUCCACCCCUUCCAUUCUCUUCUACUUUUCUUCCCAUGAGAUGUGCACCCCCUCCCCCCACUGUCUCCCUCUUUCUGUCUUUCUGCCUCUUCAUCUCUCUAUUAUAAUAAACUCUCCACAUGGAUGC